AAUCCCUGGUAACGGGCAAAGAGACAUCUUGGUGGUGUUGUUUUUAUAUCAGUCAGGGCCAGAGCAGAUGGCAGUCCUUUGUUCAUCCUAGCUUGAUGCCUGGCUUAGUGACCAACACUGUUUUAUGCCUAGGACUCAUAA
Molecule: small nucleolar RNA, 141 nt
Organism: Grammomys surdaster
Lineage: Eukaryota; Metazoa; Chordata; Mammalia; Rodentia; Muridae
Product: small nucleolar RNA SNORA48
Exons: 1
Source: RefSeq, a predicted model, not a curated record